GAUGAAGAACGUAGUGAAAUGCGAUACGUAAUGUGAAUUGCAAAUUCAGUGAAUCAUCGAAUCUUUGAACGCACAUUGCGCCCCCUGGUAUUCCGGGGGGCAUGCCUGUCCGAGCGUCAUUGCUGCCCUCAAGCACGGCUUGUGUGUUGGGCCCCGUCCUCCGAUUCCGGGGGACGGGCCCGAAAGGCAGCGGCGGCACCGCGUCCGGUCCUCGAGCGUAUGGGGCUUUGUCACCCGCUCUGUAGGCCCGGCCGGCGCUUGCCGAUCAACCCAAAUUUUUAUCCAGGUUGACCUCGGAUCAGGUAGGGAUACCCGCUGAACUUAAGCAUAUCAAUAAGCGGAGGA
Molecule: unclassified non-coding RNA, 345 nt
Filed under: soil metagenome
Description: partial contains 5.8S ribosomal RNA, internal transcribed spacer 2, and large subunit ribosomal RNA
Rfam family: 5.8S ribosomal RNA (bases 1-119)
Source: RNAcentral